This 464-nucleotide ribosomal RNA is filed under the name uncultured bacterium. RNAcentral's name for it is "partial 16S ribosomal RNA". It matches the Rfam family "Bacterial small subunit ribosomal RNA", at positions 28 to 507 of the family's 1533-position model. The record is from RNAcentral.
GACGAACGCUGGCGGCGUGCUUAACACAUGCAAGUCGAACGGAAAGGCCCAGCUUGCUGGGUGCUCGAGUGGCGAACGGGUGAGUAACACGUGGGUGAUCUGCCCCUAACUUCGGGAUAAGCUUGGGAAACUGGGUCUAAUACCGGAUAGGACAAUCGUUUAGUGUCGGUUGUGGAAAGUUUUUUCGGUUAGGGAUAAGCCCGCGGCCUAUCAGCUUGUUGGUGGGGUAAUGGCCUACCAAGGCGUCGACGGGUAGCCGGCCUGAGAGGGUGGACGGCCACAUUGGGACUGAGAUACGGCCCAGACUCCUACGGGAGGCAGCAGUGGGGAAUAUUGCACAAUGGGCGCAAGCCUGAUGCAGCGACGCCGCGUGGGGGAUGACGGCCUUCGGGUUGUAAACCUCUUUCGACAGGGACGAAGCUUUGGUGACGGUACCUGUAUAAGAAGCACCGGCUAACUACGUG